GUUUAACUCCAUCUACUCCGUACCCGUGCUUGGUCUAAAGGAAGAGAGACCAACAAAUUUGGCGUCACGAACAGGAUUUUUUCUUUUUGAAGAAAAAGGAGUUUUUGGAGGACAAUUUGACCAACCGACCCAGCGAACAGAUCUUGGCACAGAACACCGCGGUGGAAAACAAGGUGAGCAGAGCCUAUUAUCUAAAAUCUGCUCAUUGGAUUUAUCCAAAGCCUUUGUGUCCAGAAUCAUAGUAGCUGAGGUCCUAAAAUAAUAGUUGGAGAAGAAAGUGGAGACAAGUGCAGAAAGAAUAAGAGAUUUUUUGUAAUGGUUUAAUGGUGAAAUGAAAUGAGGAUUUUUCUAAUGGUUUAAUGAGUAAAUGAGAAAAGGAAAUAGUACAGAUGAAGGGAUGGUGACCCAGGGCUAAUAGAGUAGCCCUAAAGUUCCAUUUCCAGGUCGUGGCUGACCACACUAUUUGCUGACGAGCGGAUAGAAUAUAUAACAAGGUUAUAUAAAGCUUGGCUGGAUCCAUAGGUGUGGGAACCCUAAAAGUCCACAGGUCAAGGACCUGGUUUUUUGUGUUAAGGGAAGGGGAGGCUAAAAGAGAGCUCCCUGGAUUUUUAAGGUCAAGGACCUUUUGCAUGAGAUGAGAAAAAUGUUCUGAGGUAACUGUUUUUGCAUAAGAUGAUAAAUGUUUUGACUGCUUCUGUGUGAAGAGAGCAGUGCUUUUGGCUAUUUCUGCGUGCUUUUGGCUGUUUUUGCAUAAAAUGAGCAAUGUUUAAAUAUGACAAGCAGCCCAGUUGAAGCCACGAGAAAUGAGGUUUUAUUGAGAAAGUCAGCAGAAAAGGCGAUGAAGGAAAAGGGGUAGAUGUUAACAGUAGAGGUAACUGGAGCAAGAUUUGGGAAGUGAAGGCUGCAGAAUCAAGAGGAAAAAGGCACAGCUGUAGACAAGCUUCACUGUGUGUGUAAGCUGAGUUCAGCCUGUGUGUGUGAGGCGCAGCAAGAGGCUGCUUACGGCUCUGGAUUGAAAGUGCAGCACUAGGAGAGUGCAGAAUGCAGAGCAGAGUUUUGGGAGCUCCGUGUGUGUGUGUGUGUGAGUGUACAGCGCUGGGUGUGUGUGUGAAGGCCUGAUGCGGUACCAGAAAAUAAAUAAAUAAGAUAAAUAAGAGCUUUAAAAAGUUGCAACUCGUCUAUGUAAAUUACACUGCAGUGCUAAAAUUAAUGUUUGGAGCUACGCAAAAUUCAAAUUCUGCAACCCUGUUCUGAUCAGUCUUUGAACAGAACACCAUAAGUUAAUAAAUAAAAGGUUUUUAAAGUAACAUAUGCAUAUGUAUGUGUGUAUGUAUGUAUAUGUGUAUACAUAUAUACAUAUGUAGUGUAGAAGCGUGAUAAUCAUUUGUGUGUGGGGCAGCAUGUGAGUGACCCCGAUCUGGGGGUUAAGUGACCUGGAGAUGAAAAAAGGGAAAAAACCACCAAGAAACGCAAGUAAGGAUGUAAAUGACAGCUUUAUUUUAGAAAUAUAGUCAUAUAGCUGCUAAACAGUAAAAUCAAAACAGAUCUGCAGAAAAUAAAUAUAUAAACUAUUCCUCAGAGCGCUCUCAAAGAAAUUGCAAUUGGAUUUGCGCUAAUGUUACAUAAGGCCUGCUUAAAAGCAUAGUACGCAUUAAAUUCUGAAAAUAACCAGUGCAGUGUUAAAAUAAAUUCUGUGCUUAAAAUAUUAUAUAUAUAUAGAGAGAGAAUAAAUAAGUGACGAACUGACUUACUUUAAAAAAAAAAAAAGACUGUGACAAACAAAGAAUGUCGUCUGUGCCAUGUGAAUGAGUGGAUGCGUGUCUUCUUGCAUGAGCUGCUUUCGCUGGAUCUUCUGAAUGACUCAGUUUUUAAUAGAGGGAGCAGCUGCUUGAGAAACAGGGUGCGGUCCAUGUUUUUGCUAGACGGUUAUUUAGUUCAAGAGACUGUGGAAACAAUAGAAAAAGAAUUUAUCGUUAGUGUGAGGACAAGAAAAUCCCUUAAAAUACAAAAGUUGUAUGGUCGUGGUUAUAAAGGAAGUAUUUUGUCUGAUUAUGGGCCGUGGAGUCAGCUGGACUCCCUCGCUCUCACAGUUUUUCUGUGUAACAUGCAGUUUUAAGCAAUUUGUGACUUUAGAAAGGAUAUUUUUCGGUGUUUUGGACGUACCUUAAGGCUUCUGGUUAGGGUAUUCAGGAGAUCCUUCCUCUCGGACAGAUCUAGUGAGAAUGACUGGAGUUUCAGCCUGGGGACCUGACUCCACCCACUUUUACACACAGGAGUCCCGCAGUCUAAAAAUAGCACAGGGCGCUGCGAAAAGCAGCUCUGAACCUCUCAGGAUCAUCUUUAUGAAAACCAUAAAAUUAACAAAUAAUCAGUCAGGAAAUAAAAUAUUUGUUAAAUCUUGCUAUAAAACAAAAUCCAAUAAUUGUCUUACCUCAACUUUAAGAACCAUUAACGUUAAUGGCUGGAUUUUGGGACGCUGAAUAAUGAAAAAACAGAUAAACUAAGUAUUAUUUCCUGUAACCUGGCUAGAAACUGUACUAGGCUGUUUUGAGUUAAAAACUGGUAGUUAUUUUCCCAAAAUAAAAUAGAUAAACAAAAAAUGAAAGGAGGGAUCUUGCAUUUGGGAUAGAUUGUGCCUAAAGUUUAAAACCUGUGUAGAACUGAUUUGACGAUUCAGAAAAAUUGUGCAUAGGAAGUAGUCUAGAUUUACCUUUGAGUCAAUAAAGUCGACUAAAUAUUAGAAACCAUCGUUGAUUUUGAUUUGUAAAAGAGAAAGUUCUGUCAUUUUAACUCAAUCAACAUAUUUAAGGAAAACGUUUACUGUGCAUUGUGGCAGGCAUGAACUUUACUGGGUGGGCCUGUCACAACCAGCUGCAAAGAAUGUUUGGGUCUGACUUCUAUACAAAGAGAACCUGGAAGCCCUCACCAAAAACUGUGACUCAUAACAUCAAGACGGGGAGCACUACAAGAUGGACAAAGAGGCAGAAACUUAUUUGCCCUGCUGCUGAUGAAACAAAGUACAAAAGGGGGAGCAUGUGUGCUAACAUGUGAACUUUAAUCAAUGACGGUGGUCAUCCUGGACUUACAAAGAGAGGCUCAAAAGAGACUGUUUCCUAUGGUUACACCCAGUAAAAGAGUGCUUGCUGCAGUCAGGUAAUGAACAAGGCUUUUUGGCAACAACCAGUUGAAUUGAUGAAAUGUCAGAACUGUGGAAAAUUUACUAAACUACUGUAGAACAUAGUUAACUGAGAAAGUUAGCCUAAAAAAGAUAAUAAUAAUAUCAAUAAAUAAAUAAAUAAUAGGAUUAGUAACCUGGAUUUCAGCCCAACUCAUCAUUGGACGUCAAUAUAAUCUUUAUUGUCUUAGGAUUCUCAGCUGCAGCGGACAUGCAGUAAAGCCUUAUUUUCUUUUCAAAACGGAAUACAUCAGCGUCAUCACUUAUUUUCAUUGGUUAAGGAAACGGUGUCUAUUUAUAAGUCUAGGAGAACGCUUUAGGCUUCAACAGUUCUCUCCUUCGAGUAAACAUGCGCAAAUUUCCGGACAGUUUAUAGUAACGUUCCAUCCCAUUCCAUUCAUUGCAUAAAAAUAAACAUUAAAUGAAUAAUUUGGCAUUCAGCUGACUAAAUGAUUCAUGGAACAUCUCAUCCGAGACAACAGUGUUGUUUCAGCUCCGUUGAGUUUCCCAACAGAUCUAGCCAAACCUAGCUGAUCCUAUAUUUUUCUAUCAGCUGUAAGUUCUAACGUAGAAAAUAAUGUCACAAAAAUAUUGAAUAAUUGUACCCCUCAUUCGAUAAAAAUUAUGUUCACAUUUUUAUCUUGUGAAAUCUUUAACAUAAUAUUUUUAAUUGGCCUUUUUGACGACAAUUGGCUAAAAAGUCUUUAAGAUUAUCAUCACAGGAUGGCAUGAUAAAUAAAUAAAUAACAUAAAUAAAUAAAUAGAUAAAAAUAAGAGAGAAAAAGCAAAAUUAAUUAAAUGAAACGUAAUAGUCAUAAAACGUUAAAUUGAUCUAAAAUCUGUCAUUCAGCGCCACUGGAAAAAGGAAGAGGAUAGGGGAGUAUUUCUUAGCACAAAUCACGUUAUUGAUUUAGCAAUGCAGCUUAAUUUCAGAUGCUUUAAGGAUGAUACUAACUUGUGUUAUAGAUGGAGGAGUAGCACAGAAACACUUCUAGAUGAGGAGAUAAGGAAAAAAACUGCUGAUUACCAAUACUAUGCACAAACAAACCUGUAACUGCAGUUUCGUUAUUUAUGAAUUAACCUUAAGUAGUGAAUUAAUUCUUAGGAUUUCUUGUGCGAGUAGUGUUCCUAAAAAAGAAAGAAAGAAAGAAAGAAAGAAGGUAAGAAAGACAGGUAGUUUAGGUAAGGGACAACCUGAAACUAUUUGGUUGAAUUGAUAGUAAAAGUGGUUGUCCUAAUUUUUAAUUGGAGAGAUCACACCGCAACAUGAGUUUAGAACGGCAGUUAUGGGAAGUUUUGUUGGAUUAAUUUGAUUACACGCUUUAGGUCUUAUUUUUUCUUUCCACUGAUUUAGCGUUAGGUUAAGUAUUUCACACUUUCGCUUCAGUCUGACAUUUGCUUGGUGUGUGAGGGCACAGAGACGUGUAUGGACCGUGUGUUUGACUGUGUUUGUCUUGUUUGUUUGUUUAUUUAUCUAUAUGGGCGUGGCUGAGCCUUGAGAAACAUCAACAAAGCCAUUGGGCUAUUCUGAGUAAAUUGACCAAUUCAACUUCAGGAUCCUGAAACAAUUUGGCUAUAACCUCUAAUUGAUGAAGGACAUCUUAAGAAUUCAUUAUACAAGGCUUCCUCUCCAGUGUUGCCGGAACUGUUAUAAAACCCAUGCAUGGUUGUAUAUUUUAGUUUGAUCAUUUAUACUCAUUGAAUUAUUGUUGUUUGCUUUGUGUUUUAAUUUCUUUGUAAUUUUUUCUCUGUGACACAGGUGGAGAUGCUGGUGGCGAAGUGGAUCCCACUCAUUUCUUUCUCCCACACACAUUCUUACUCUCUCCCUCUCUCUCUCUGUGUAUGUGCAUGUGUAUGUGUUUGUGUGUCUCUGUGUGUCCAUGUCGUGAUGUCACUGUACCUUUAAUUGCGCUUGCUGUUCGUAACUGUAUGUGUCUGAUGUUGAAGGUAUCAGAGGCUAGGGUCAGUAAGAGCUAGGACAUUUUUGUGCAUAACCUCUAAUCCCUAGGCGAUCGGUCCGGGGAACUUCUGGUCCGGCCGGAGUGUGAAUCUUCCUACCAACUAUCUGCCAAGAUCAAUUGGACUGCACAAGCCGAGAAAGCCUUCAUUGGACCAAAACUACACACACGAAGAGGCUUCGCCUUCGGUGCCAGGCGUCUGGGUCCUGCUAAAAGUCACCAAAAGGAAGUGGACGGAACCAAGGUGGACCGGGCCAUACAGGAUCACGGAGAGGACAUCACACGCUGUCCGGCUGGACGGGAGGAGCCUAACCUGGAAGAGAAGCAGCUGACAUCUGCCUAACCAGAGAAAGGAUCCAAAAAACCAGGAAGAGAAGUAGCUGACUACAGUAGCAUGCCAAGCUGCCACCACAUCCUGCAGGACGAGAAUCAUGACAUCAUCACCCCCUGCAGCUGCCUGGAGCCAGUGAAGGGUCCUCAACAGGGGGAAGAAGUAACCACCCUAUGAACAUUCUACAAGGGUUGUAUUUAACACCCUCAUUUAUUUUACAAGGGUAAUAUUUUACACCCUCCACCUGCUGACCCAAUUAUCCAGAUGCCCUUGUUACUAGCCAAUCCUAAAAUCUAUUUGGGAGGGGAACCCUCUGAUGAAAGUGAUGACUCUCAUGAUGAAGAAGAUGUUAUUAGAGUGUGAGAAUAUUGAGUGAUUUCUGUAACAAUCCCUUAAACUGUUUAUUUCUAUGAGUUUUUUGAUUGUGUUGUUUUUAUUUCUUUUGAUCAUUGAUGUCCUAGGCAUGCACACUCUAUGCCAACAGGUGUUCGCCCCAAAAUUGAGAUAUGACAAAUGGGGGGACAUGGGGGAAUUUUCCCUAUAAACAUAUGAUAAUUAGGGUUUUUCGCCCUCAUAUGGAGUUGCAUGCGAUCCAUACAUGUUGUAACAUGUUCAGUUGAAAGUAUGAUCAUGUUUUUUGUAUUAGUUUACUGCUAGAAAGAUGAGUAAAUGUAAUCUGAUUGGUUGUUUGUAUUGGUAUUUUAAAACUUUGCUUAUUGGAUUCUUUUUGAUGGAAUUUGGUGUUAUUGUUUUGAUUUCUUAUAUCUUUAUUGAACUCUUAAAAGAGUUCAAAAGGGGGAUUGAAAAUAUAUAUCUCUCAUAUAAGCUCUUUCAUAUAUUAUUAUAAGCUCAUUUUAUUAUCUAUGCUAUGGAAACUCGCUCAGAUACUCAAGGCCUUCACACAAAGAUUAAUAGCUGUGUAUCUUCUCCUGCACAAGAGAAGGGAGUGUGCACAUUCCAUCUCCACUCAGUGCCUCUCGGUACCAGUGAAUGUAUCUUCUCCUGUCAUGAAUAUAUCAGGAUGUUCCUGGUAAUCUCAAGGAUGUGUUCUAGUGAUGUAUUAAACUGUCCGCUAACAAGGCUGUUAUUUUCACCUGUCAUGAUCAUUGACGUAUGUACAUGGCAAACUGCGUAUGUUACAUUCCUGUACUCUUCAAUAAAAAUCAGCCGUUUCAGCAGAACGGCGAGAGUCUGUCCGAAGCAUCUGGCAAGAGCAGGCCGCGGGACUUGCUGCAGAGACUCUCCCCCUCAUGAGCGGCGAAACAGUGAA
Nothobranchius furzeri (turquoise killifish) is the source of this 6734-nucleotide non-coding RNA. The record is from RefSeq and is a predicted model, not a curated record. NCBI's taxonomy places the organism in Eukaryota, Metazoa, Chordata, Actinopteri, Cyprinodontiformes, Nothobranchiidae.